UCAGGAUCAACACAACAAACCUUGAUUCCAUAAAGGGAAACUUGUUCCGCAAGGCGAAUGCCUGCGGGGCCAGCACCGAUUAUAAUCACAUCAAAAUGAGAACGAUCAGAAGGUUGGAACCAUGGAAGGUCGAAAUCUAAGGAUUCGGGUUGAUACUCGGGUUUUAAGUCAAGGAAAUUCCCAAACUUGCUUGUGCUUUGGAUCUUGCUACUAGUUUUUCUUGAAGUUGGAAGUGAUAUUGUUUGAUGGGUUUUGAGGAGAGGGAUUAUUGAAGGUGUGAAUUGGUUGUGUGUUUUGGUUGGAGGUGGUGGAGAAAUUAACAUAAGACGAGUGCCCAUGUUUUGCGGAAGGGUGUUUUUUUGUUUUUGUUUUGUGAUUGUGAGCUGAUUGAAGAGGAAGCUAAUUUAAUGUUUGGUUUUUGGUAAUAAUACUAAUAAUAAUAAAGGAUAAAGAAUAAAGAGAGUUUGGUGAUGGGGAAGAUGUGCAUGGAGACAAAGAGGAAUCAUAAACUGAAAGCACCAAAAUGAUGCUUUCGUUUCGUUUUUCUCAACCAAUUUUGGCGCAUGUUUUAAAUUUGGAUUUGCUGAUUUUUUUAGCAAUAAUAAUAGAUCAUUUCUAAUAAAUGAAUUUCACAUGUACCUGUACAUUUAAAUUUUAAAUUUAUAGUUAAAUCAAUUUUAAAAAAAAUUAUUUUUUAUCAUUUAUAUAAUUAUAAUAACUAAAUAUUACCUAUUAAAAAUAUCAAUGAAAUAAAAUUUAAUUUUUAUGAAUUUUUUAUUUUUUUAUAAUAGUGAAUAUUAAAUAUAUUGAUGAUAAAAUGUAAAAAAUUAUAUAAUAUUUAUAGACAACGAAAUGAUGUAUUUAUUCCAUAAAGGGAAACUUGUUCCGCAAGGCGAAUGCCUGCGGGGCCAGCACCGAUUAUAAUCACAUCAAAAUGAGAACGAUCAGAAGGUUGGAACCAUGGAAGGUCGAAAUCUAAGGAUUCGGGUUGAUACUCGGGUUUUAAGUCAAGGAAAUUCCCAAACUUGCUUGUGCUUUGGAUCUUGCUACUAGUUUUUCUUGAAGUUGGAAGUGAUAUUGUUUGAUGGGUUUUGAGGAGAGGGAUUAUUGAAGGUGUGAAUUGGUUGUGUGUUUUGGUUGGAGGUGGUGGAGAAAUUAACAUAAGACGAGUGCCCAUGUUUUGCGGAAGGGUGUUUUUUUGUUUUUGUUUUGUGAUUGUGAGCUGAUUGAAGAGGAAGCUAAUUUAAUGUUUGGUUUUUGGUAAUAAUACUAAUAAUAAUAAAGGAUAAAGAAUAAAGAGAGUUUGGUGAUGGGGAAGAUGUGCAUGGAGACAAAGAGGAAUCAUAAACUGAAAGCACCAAAAUGAUGCUUUCGUUUCGUUUUUC
Molecule: long non-coding RNA, 1385 nt
Filed under: Cicer arietinum (chickpea)
Lineage: Eukaryota; Viridiplantae; Streptophyta; Magnoliopsida; Fabales; Fabaceae
Description: long non-coding RNA (CARI_LNC000114)
Source: RNAcentral